UACGUAGGAGGCAAGCGUUGUCCGGAUUUAUUGGGCGUAAAGGGCGCGCAGGCGGCAUAUUAAGUCAGGUGUGAAAUCUCCCGGCUCAACUGGGAGGGUGCACCUGAUACUGGUAAGCUGGAGUGCAGCAGAGGGAGAUGGAAUUCCCGGUGUAGUGGUGAAAUGCGUAGAUAUCGGGAGGAACACCAGUGGCGAAAGCGGUCUCCUGGGCUGUAACUGACGCUGAGGCGCGAAAGCGUGGGGAGCGAACCGG
RNAcentral lists this ribosomal RNA (253 nucleotides) under uncultured Dehalogenimonas sp. RNAcentral's name for it is "partial 16S ribosomal RNA". It matches the Rfam family "Bacterial small subunit ribosomal RNA", at positions 524 to 776 of the family's 1533-position model. Lineage: Bacteria; Bacillati; Chloroflexota; Dehalococcoidia; Dehalococcoidales; Dehalococcoidaceae. The record is from RNAcentral.